Molecule: ribosomal RNA, 301 nt
Filed under: uncultured bacterium
Lineage: Bacteria
Description: partial 16S ribosomal RNA
Rfam family: Bacterial small subunit ribosomal RNA
Source: RNAcentral
CAGUCGCCGCGGGAAUACGAAGGGGGCUAGCGUUGCUCGGAAUGACUGGGCGUAAAGGGCGCGUAGGCGGAUUGUUUAGUUAGGCGUGAAAUUCCUGGGCUUAACCUGGGGACUGCGCUUAAUACAGGCAGUCUAGAGUGAGGAAGAGGGUUGUGGAAUUCCCAGUGUAGAGGUGAAAUUCGUAGAUAUUGGGAAGAACACCGGUGGCGAAGGCGGCAACCUGGUCCUUGACUGACGCUGAGGCGCGAAAGCGUGGGGAGCAAACAGGAUUAGAUACCCCCGUAGUCCCUGUCUCUUAUAU